UGCAUGUAACCCUCGAUCAUAAAUAAUGAAUCUGAUCUACUGAUAUCAUUUUCCUAUUUUCCAGGUUGCGUCCCUCAACAGCACCAUAUCGCCAGAUGAAUGUGAACCAAUACUGGAAAUUAUUGAUGGAAUACAGAAUUCAGAAGACAUUUACGAAGUGAAAUAUACAAAAAUGAAAGAUAGAGAGUGCAAAUUUAAGAAAAUGGAGUUUAUUUCAGAUAGAACCAAUAUGAAAGUUCCUGCUGACUUUAUGAAAUUGGAUUACGGCCAACAAACACUUUUCUUUUGGAUAAAAAGUUUAAAUGUCAACGAAUCCUAUACACUCAAUAUCACUUAUGGUACAUCUGGGGAUGAAUUCACAAACAGCACCUGCACAUUUAGUAUUUUUUCAAGAUUCAUAAAACAUGAUGUUACAAACCAAUUUGAGUGUGACCCACUUUUGGAAAUAAAGAAACUUUCUCAGAUUUCAGAUGGAACCUUAAUAGCACAAUAUACUAAAAAGCUGGAUACUGAAUUGAAAAUAGUAGGAAU
Leptinotarsa decemlineata (Colorado potato beetle) is the source of this 531-nucleotide long non-coding RNA. Lineage: Eukaryota; Metazoa; Arthropoda; Insecta; Coleoptera; Chrysomelidae. The record is from RefSeq and is a predicted model, not a curated record.